CUCAGCUCUGUCUUCCUCGGGCUGGCUCCUGCGGAUCCUUCCUGGGCCAGAACCGUGCCUCUAGGCCACCUCCCCCAAGCCACCAAGCCCCCGCGGUGGGCCAGCCUUGGCCCAGUGUCACGCAGGACAGAAAUGACCAACAGAUAACUGAGGACAAUGGACCUGCCUGGGCAUAGACUUCCUUAAGAGAUGUGUGCACAGACCCAGGCCAUGCAGAUACUGGUGCCUCUAACUUCGUCAGCCCAGAACACCUCACCUCUGGCCCCCAGCACAGGAAAGCAGCGUGGUCAGGAGGGGUUAAACUUCGGCUGAAGCACAGGCGCAGUGAGCCUGCAGGCCGACCUCACUCGUGGCACACAACUAAAUCUGGGGAGAAGCAACCCGAUGCCAGCAUGAUGCAGAUAUCUCAGGGUAUGAUCGGCCCUCCUUGGCACCAAAGCUACCAUUCCAGGUAAGUGGCUAUAGCUGAGACUGAAGGGUUUCUUUCUUUCUAAUGUCAUGUUCCCAGAAAAGAAUGUUUUCUUCUCUGUUUUGAGAAUGUUUUUUCUUAUACUCACACUAAAUAUUAAAUCUCUAUCCACUGCUUUUCUCAUCCUCUUAUAGUGCUUGACGUGUAUAUGAGUUACCUUUAUAUGCUUGGCUAGAUCAACUUGAAGAUCAGAAUUAUUUGAAGCACUGGCUGGCCAUUUGAGAUAUUUAUGGGGUCCAUCAAUUCUCAGACAUUUCUCCACUGAUAGCACUAUAUUAGAAAAAUUGAGAUUUUUCUUCCUUCAGUGCUUAAGUGUGCUUUCUGCCUUAGUCAAAACCGUAUCCAUUUUUAUUCCUGUGUUUGAACUCCCCAUUUGGUUUUGCUCUUUCAAUUAAGGUAAUUUGUCCAUCUUAGCUCCAACGGCACAACUAAUGUACUGAGGACCACUCAGUGUAUACAUUAUCUCAUGUAGUGACUCAUAGACUUCUUUAAAACAGAUACAGUAGUAUUAACCCCAUUUUGCAGAAUAGGAAAUUGAAGCUUGCGGCUGGGUGCAGUGGCUUAUGCCUGUAAUCCCAGCACUUUGGGAGGCCAAGGAGGGCGGAUCACCUGAGGUCAGGAGUUCAAGACCAGCCUGGCCAACACGGUGAAACCCUGUCUCUACUAAAAAUACAAAAAUUAGCCAGGUGUGGUGGCAUGAACCUGUAAUCCCAGCUACUCGGGAGGCUGAGGCAGAAGAAUCGCUUGAACCCGGGAGGUGGAGGUUGCAGUGAGCUCAGAUCACGCCACUGCACUCCAACCUGGGUGACAGAGUAAGACUUCAUCUC
This 1296-nucleotide long non-coding RNA is filed under the name Homo sapiens (human). Its description in RNAcentral is "HSALNT0073928". The record is from RNAcentral. Lineage: Eukaryota; Metazoa; Chordata; Mammalia; Primates; Hominidae.